UACGUAGGUGGCGAGCGUUGCCCGGAUUUACUGGGCGUAAAGGGAGCGUAGGCGGACUUUUAAGUGAGAUGUGAAAUACUCGGGCUCAACUUGAGUGCUGCAUUUCAAACUGGAAGUCUAGAGUGCAGGAGAGGAGAAUGGAAUUCCUAGUGUAGCGGUGAAAUGCGUAGAGAUUAGGAAGAACACCAGUGGCGAAGGCGAUUCUCUGGACUGUAACUGACGCUGAGGCUCGAAAGCGUGGGGAGCAAACAGG
This 253-nucleotide ribosomal RNA is filed under the name uncultured bacterium. Its description in RNAcentral is "partial 16S ribosomal RNA". It matches the Rfam family "Bacterial small subunit ribosomal RNA", at positions 524 to 776 of the family's 1533-position model. The record is from RNAcentral.